RNAcentral lists this small RNA (578 nucleotides) under Pongo abelii (Sumatran orangutan). Its description in RNAcentral is "retained intron". The record is from RNAcentral. Lineage: Eukaryota; Metazoa; Chordata; Mammalia; Primates; Hominidae.
UUAUUGAUUUAUAUGAGCUAUUUAAAUAGGAAAAAAGGAAGUUAGCAGUAUAUAUGCCUUAUGUGUUGCAUAUAUUUUUCCAGUCUGUUAUUGCAUUUUCUGCUUUGUUUAUGGAAACUUAAUUGAUUUUAAUAUAAAAAUUCCUGGGAAAAUUGACCUAUUUAAUGAGACUGCAGUAGAAUUUUUAUCUAGAUCUAUUUAGAUUUACCUGUAACUUAUAAUGAAAAUCUAUGUACCUUAUAGUUCAAGAUAAUUAUUUACUAAUAGCAGAAAAUGUUAAUGCCAUAUAUGUAGUAUUAUUAUUCAAGACAUUUUCUUUUCUUUAUUUAUAGAUCAAGCUUCUGAAAUUCAGGUGACAAUGAUGCUCACUGAAAGUUGUAAGCUGCGAGGUCUUCAUCACAGGCAAUUUCUCAGCAAGACCUGGUACACAUGGCUAUUCAGAUUGCCUGUGGAAUGAGCUACCUGGCCAGAAGGGAAGUCAUCCACAAAGACCUGGCUGCCAGGAACUGUGUCAUUGAUGACACACUUCAAGUUAAGAUCACAGACAAUGCCCUCUCCAGAGACUUGUUCCCCAUGGA